GACGAACGCUGGCGGCGUGCUUAACACAUGCAAGUCGAACGGAAAGGCCCUGCUUUUGUGGGGUGCUCGAGUGGCGAACGGGUGAGUAACACGUGAGUAACCUGCCCUUGACUUUGGGAUAACUUCAGGAAACUGGGGCUAAUACCGGAUAGGAGCUCCUGCUGCAUGGUGGGGGUUGGAAAGUUUCGGCGGUUGGGGAUGGACUCGCGGCUUAUCAGCUUGUUGGUGGGGUAGUGGCUUACCAAGGCUUUGACGGGUAGCCGGCCUGAGAGGGUGACCGGCCACAUUGGGACUGAGAUACGGCCCAGACUCCUACGGGAGGCAGCAGUGGGGAAUAUUGCACAAGGGGCGGAAGCCUGAUGCAGCAACGCCGCGUGCGGGAUGACGGCCUUCGGGUUGUAAACCGCUUUCGCCUGUGACGAAGCGUGAGUGACGGGAAUGGGGAAAGAAGCACCGGCUAACUACGU
RNAcentral lists this ribosomal RNA (467 nucleotides) under uncultured bacterium. RNAcentral's name for it is "partial 16S ribosomal RNA". It matches the Rfam family "Bacterial small subunit ribosomal RNA", at positions 28 to 506 of the family's 1533-position model. The record is from RNAcentral.